AAGUAAGAGUUAACCCUAAAAAAAUUACCUAAGUACAGAUUAUUUUAUGUAACUCUAAAAUAUGAAGUUGAAAUCGUUAGUAAUUAUAAGUUAGUAUAUUAUAGUGAAAUAAAAGUCAAAUUUUGCACACACUGCCCAUCACGCUCGAAAAAUUUUAU
Molecule: ribosomal RNA, 158 nt
Filed under: Anophryoides haemophila
Lineage: Eukaryota; Ciliophora; Oligohymenophorea; Philasterida; Glauconematidae
Description: partial Bacterial small subunit ribosomal RNA
Rfam family: Bacterial small subunit ribosomal RNA
Source: RNAcentral